GGGGGGGGGGGGGGGGGGGGGGGGGGGGGGGGGGGGGGGGGGGGGGGGGGGGGGGGGGGGGGGGGGGGGGGGGGGGGGGGGGGGGGGGGGGGGGGGGGGGGGGGGGGGGGGGGGGGGGCAAAAAAAAAAAAAAAAACAUCAGCAACGCCUUGAUCUUAUCUGGAUCUUCUCUUGCAGCCCAGACGAACGGCGGGGGCAGCGCAGGGCUGGAGGGGAUGCUGAACCCUUACACGGCCCUGGCCCCGCCCCAGCAGCUGCUGGGCAUGGAGCAGAGUGUCUACAGCUCCGACCCUUUCCGGCAAGGGCUCACCCCGCCCCAGAUGCCCGGAGACCACAUGCACCCCUACGGUGCCGAGCCCCUCUUCCACGACCUGGACAGCGACGAUACCUCACUGAGCAACCUGGGGGACUGCUUCCUCGGCACAGCAGAUGCAGGGCCGCUUCAGGCACGAGUGGGAAACCCCAUCGACCACCUGUACUCCAUGCAGAACUCCUACUUCACCUCCUGAGCGCAGCCUGGUGCCCCCAGGAGGGUCGGGAGGGAGGGAGGGGAGCGGCGCUGCCGGGAUGCCGCCAGAUAAUGUUGUAGCUUGGGAUUCCCAAGGAGCGAGUUAAGUUAUGGGUUGCAUAGUUUCAUGUUUCUCUUAGGAGCCUAGGAUUAGGGACAGGAGUGGUUUUUGCAGCUGGCUGGUAGGUUUUCAAAUUUCAAACGGGGGCACGAAUUUCUCCGUUCGGCAGGGGGAGUGGGGGGGGGGGGGGGGGGGGGGGGGGGGGGGGGGGGGGGGGGGGGGGGGGGGGGGGGGGGGGGGGGGGGUUCUCCUGUAGGAGCAUCCCAGCUCUGCAUCCCAGCUCUAGAAAGAGCAAACUGCUGAUCUUCAUGGGGAAAGCCUGCAGCAUCAGCCAGGCUUUGAAUUUAAAAAGCUGACAGCGCUCUGGGGAAGGAAACACGAGGGGAAAAGGUCGCUGCAGGGUUUGGUUUUUUUUCCCAUCUGUUCCCUCAACCGGUUUGAGUGCCCGCUGCUUAAACGUAGGGACUUUAAAGAUAGAUGUUCCCAUGCGAGUAUAGAAAGCUAGAAACCCCUGACAUUGUCCCUGUCCCCGAGGAUGGGGCUGUGUGUGUGGAUGUGUGUGUGUGUGUGCGUGCAGAGCCGUGUGGCUGGGAGUGCUGCGCUGCACGGCCACGCCUGCCGGAUUGUAUCAACAAAAAAAAAAAAAGUUUAUUUCUAAGUCUAUCAGAAAUUUACUGUACAGCAAAAGUAACUUUAUUUUCAGUGUGAACCAUAUUUAAGGAAAUACUCAAUGCACUUAAGUUAUAAGAGGAAAUAAUUUUACUUUUUAUAAGCGUUAUGUUUAGGUUGCAAAAGCCCAGUGGCAGGGAAGGAGCGUCAGUUCAUUUCAGGCGAUAGGUUUGGGUUUCGGGGUUGGUUACUUUUGGUGUUCUCAGGUUGCCCCACUGGUUUCGAGGUGCAGUUGAAACACAAAGCAGGGCUGGGUCCAGAAAGCUGCUUUUUGCCAGCAGGUUGAUGGGGGCAGCGUGGUGCCCGGGUCCUGUCCCCGCUGCUGGACGUGCCCAGGGGGUCGGUGUGGGGUGGGCGUGCUGGAGCUGCUGCACAUCCCACCCCAUCAGGGCUCAGCCAUGCUUCUCCACGUCACUUGUCCUUCCCCAGCAGGGCCCAGCCUGCCUCCACCAGCAACCCCAUCCCAUGAUACUCUCAAAUUUGGGUGCUAGGCCGGUGUGAGCUGGUGUCCUGGUGCUGGGAAACGCUGCACCCCAAGUCCCCACCCCUCAGGGGAAGCAGGGCCAGCCCUGCUUGCUUUGGCUCCAUCCCUGCCAGCCCUGUGGGAAAACCUGGGGAAAGUCGAGCCUUCAGCUGGCCCUCACCUCAUCCCCACUCUUCGUUUUCAUGCGUUGUGUCCUUUUGUGCUGCUGUUCACAAAUGAUGGAAGAGACAGCCCCUAAAGCCGUGCGAGUGACUGUGAGGCUGGAAACACUGGCUGGUGGCUGCUGUCCCUCUGACACUGAAUGUAGCAGGGUCUGGAGAUGGCUGUCCUGGUGGGAAGUGCUGACAGCACUGCCAGAAAUCACGCACCGAGAUGAAAUCUGAAAGACAAAAAAAAAAAAAAAAAGGGGGGGGGGGGGGGGGGGGGGGGGGGGGGGGGGGGGGGGGGGGGGGGGAAAACUCUGUUAAAGAAAAAAAAAAAAAGCGUGGUGUUUUCUUUCUUGCGUGGUUGUGUCCUCUUGGCUGGGAGAGGGAAAGGUUGGAAGGUUGGAGUUGUCCCCAAAGACAGCAAGGUCUUGGGCAGGGUGUAGUGAGAAGUUUUUGCUUAAUGGGUUAAUUUUAAAUUAAUGGGUUUUCGAUAUCAAAUAUUCACAGAAUCAUAGACCUCAUCACAGUGUGGGUUGGAAGGGACUUCAAAGACCAUCCAGCUGCAGCCCCCUGCCAUGGGCAGGGACACCUUCCACUAUGCCAGGUUACUCCAAGCCCCAUCCAGCCUGGCCUUGAACACUUCCAGGGGUGGGGCAUCCACAGCCUCUCUGGGCAGCCUGUGCUGGGGCCUCAUCAUAUUCUGUGGUCUGGGACUAAGCUGGCCCUUGGAGAGUCCUGUGUGGCCAACAGGCAGAGGCUGGUGGGUCUGGAAGAUGAGAGAGGGGCUGGCUGGGGGUCUUCACCAAGCUCUCACCUGGACUAGCACUUCAUGAACCCCAGCCCUUCAUGUUAGGACCAUGAGCAACUCCAUGGUAAGACUGCCCUAAGGGUAUGGGUGGGUGUUUCCCAAGAGGAAUUGCCCUUAUCCCAGCUCCCAGACACACAGAGGUUCCAUAAACGUGCCAGCAAAUGGGGAUCCACAGCCCAUUUUCUGAGCUGUUCUAAACAAGGUGUGCUCCUUCCUGCCCAUCAUCAGUCCCUGCUCUCCAGCUUCUGUGUUAGAAAAUGUUUUCUAAGUCCAACCUGCAAAAAGAAAAAAAUUCUAAAGUGGUGUGACUGCAAGAAGAAAACUUGUCAUUUUUAUUUUCCAAGCUGUAAAAAGCAGCCCAAGAGCAGCCUGGAUUGCCUGGGUUGGUUUGGGGUUUUGCUCUGUUUGAAGACAGCAGCAGGGAAAAGGGUUGGACUUGUCUUGUGGUGGGCAAGUUGGGGAAAUUAUGGCUUGAGGUUUCUCUUAACACCAGUCUUGGUGGAAUUGGAGAAAUACUUGGCUGGUGCUAUGUGAAAAAGGGGGCAGGAGCUGCUGUGGCCCACAAAACCAGCACAAUUUAUAGGAUCAGCUCUAGGCAAUGGCUGGGUUGACACCACCCAGGCUUACAAUGCAAAAGUAAGUUUCCCUUAAUGGUUAUUAAAACUGCCUCAAAAAUUCCUCUCACUCGGGUACUUCUUAAAACAUCAUCUUUAAAUUUGUGGGGGUUUAUUACUAAUGUUUUGAAGAUAAAAGGUUUGUCUUCCCCACCCACAGCUAUUUCCUGUUUGAAAAAUCCUCAGGUGCAUCAGCCCCGUUUUUCAUCAGCCCAACUGUCAAUUUACACUUGCUAAAUUGCUUCCCCCAAAUAAAAACUCUCAUGUCAUACAGACUGGUUGCCUACUUUUAAAAAUCUUGCAAAACUGUAAUGACACCCUAUAAUAACAGUCUCUUGAUGCAGAUGUGGGUAUGUGUAUAAAAUUAUUAUUAUAUAGAGUAUGUCAUUUUGGGAAACGAUCAGAAUUAUGGAUGAGGGCGGAUUUUUGCCCAGCAAAAUCAGGAGGAUUCAUGGUUUUAAAGCUGUUCUUCUGCCAGUUGGCCCUGUGCUCGACACAGGCCGAACAUGAGCCCAGUUUGCAAUCUUGCCAUGGAGUAGCAGAUGUGGGUCCUCC
Long non-coding RNA from Ficedula albicollis (Collared flycatcher), 3845 nucleotides. The record is from Ensembl. NCBI's taxonomy places the organism in Eukaryota, Metazoa, Chordata, Aves, Passeriformes, Muscicapidae.